CACGUAAGGUGCGAGCGUUGUUCGGAAUUAUUGGGCGUAAAGGGCACGCAGGCGGCGAGGCAAGCUUGGUGUGAAAUCCCGGGGCUCAACCCCGGAACUGCAUUGAGAACUGCUUGGCUAGAGUCAGCGAGGGGCAGCCGGAAUUCCAGGUGUAGGGGUGAAAUCUGUAGAUAUCUGGAAGAACACCAAUGGCGAAGGCAGGCUGCCAGCGCAUGACUGACGCUCAGGUGCGAAGGUGCGGGGAG
RNAcentral lists this ribosomal RNA (245 nucleotides) under uncultured Treponema sp. RNAcentral's name for it is "partial 16S ribosomal RNA". It matches the Rfam family "Bacterial small subunit ribosomal RNA", at positions 524 to 768 of the family's 1533-position model. The record is from RNAcentral. Lineage: Bacteria; Pseudomonadati; Spirochaetota; Spirochaetia; Treponematales; Treponemataceae.